GGCAGCGUGGGACGCUACGGCGGAUAUGGCUGCAGAGCGGCCGGCUGGGAUCUUAGAUAGGAGGGGUGGAUUUGCAAGGCCUAGAAUAGCUGGGGAGUGGUUUCCCCGCGGAAUCGGCCUCCCUGCCGCUCCUGCUUUGUACUGUGACGCUCAGCCUGUGAUGACUGGUGUGGAAUCCGCUGAGCCACCUUGGCCUAAGGAGACUUUACCACUCUGAGAUUGUAAAUCUGUAAAAUAGAGAUGUAGGAUUAGCCCAUACGGUAGUUGUGGUAAAUACUGUGAGACAAUAAGGGGCCUGGGACACAGCAUUCAAAUGGGAAUAAUGAAGGUCAAGACUGUGAUUCCUGUAUCUUUGACGCUCUCGGUAUAAGCACCGUCGUGGGCACAGGGCAGUGGCCUUUAUGCAGGAGUUUAAGAGGGAAUGAAGGAAUGAAUGGGCAAACUCUGGAGUUCCCAAGUAUUCUCUCCAGGAGCUGUUUCCAUUCUUUUCGUUUCCAGCAGCAGAUUUUAUGGAGCUGCAAUUACUUUGAUCAUGAGGGACUGAUGCUAGUGGAUUUACUUCACCAAAUGGAACUCACUUUGUGGCUUCUGAAGAAGGGACCUUUGUGGACUGUCAUGGAGUAGUUAAGAGUGCAGGCUCUGAUUUAGUGAUCAGAGUCUGCAUUGUCAGGAAUGGGACAAAGUGAAGUUAUGUGGCACUUGAUAGGAUGCCCUGAGAAGAUUGCAACAUCACCCCUGUGAUAUUCCUGCUGAAGAUCCAUAACCUGGAUGUAAUCAUGAGGAUAUAUCAGACAAACCCACGUAAAGAGACAUGCUGUAUACAAAACUGUAAUCUUAGAAAGUGCCAAGGUCAUGAAAAUCAAAGAUAGACCCUGGAACUGUUCCAAACUGGAGGGGACCAAAGAGGCAUGACAACUAAACACAACACAUGAUUCUGAACUGGAUCUUUUUGCUUGAAAGGAAGUUACAGGGACAGUUGGAAAAGUUUAAAUGGGGCCUACAAUGCCGUGGUAAUGAUGUGUCCGUGUUAAUUUCCUGAUUUUCAUGGUUGCCUGUUAAGUUACAUCAGAGGAUGUUCUUGUUUGCUGGAAAGUAAAUCAAUGUAUUUGGCAGGGGAUAAGGCAUCAAAUGGUCACCUUAAUUUCAAAUUAUUACAGGGAAAAUGUUUCUCUCUGUACUUAAUAACUUUUUUGCAAUUUCUUAAAAUGAAAGCUCUGGAGUAAAAACUUCAAGGAUCCAA
This 1240-nucleotide long non-coding RNA is filed under the name Homo sapiens (human). Its description in RNAcentral is "HSALNT0405296". The record is from RNAcentral. Lineage: Eukaryota; Metazoa; Chordata; Mammalia; Primates; Hominidae.